AACGGUCUAUACCUGCGGUACCUGCGGAGGGAUCAUUAUAGAAAACAUAUUGAACUCAGAGAGAGAGGGGGGGGAGUGUGUGAGCUUCCCUCUCUUCUUUUCUGGGCAAACAACCAACACACAUGACUAGGAAAAUGACAGACAGAGAGAGACUGGACUGGAUUGGAUUGGGCGCGAGGAUAUGGUCCUCGCAAGACUCUCGCAAGAGAGAAAAGUUCUUGUCUGAUAAAGUAGCUUGCU
Molecule: unclassified non-coding RNA, 240 nt
Filed under: soil metagenome
Description: partial contains 5.8S ribosomal RNA, internal transcribed spacer 2, and large subunit ribosomal RNA
Source: RNAcentral